AGAACGAACGCUGGCGGCGUGGAUAAGACAUGCAAGUCGAACGGGUUUAGUUUCGGAGCAAUUCGGAAUUAGGCCAGUGGCGAACGGGUGCGUAACACGUGAGUCAUCUGCCUGAAGGUGGGGGAUAGCUCGCCGAAAGGCGAAUUAAUACCGCAUGUGGUUGUAAGACCAAAGCCGGGGCAACCUGGCGCUUUUAGAGGAACUCGCGGCCUAUCAGCUUGUUGGUGAGGUAACGGCUUACCAAGGCUUCGACGGGUAGCUGGUCUGAGAGGACGACCAGCCACACUGGAACUGAGACACGGUCCAGACACCUACGGGUGCAGCAGUCGAGAAUUUUUUCUCAAUGGGGGAAACCCUGAAGGAGCGACGCCGCGUGGAGGAUGAAUGCUUUCGGGUUGUAAACUCCUGUCAUUUGGGAACAAAGCCUUACGUUAACUGCGUGGAGGUUUGAUAGUACCGAAAGAGGAAGAGACGGCUAACUCUGUGCCAGCAGCCGC
RNAcentral lists this ribosomal RNA (497 nucleotides) under uncultured bacterium. RNAcentral describes it as "SSU rRNA". It matches the Rfam family "Bacterial small subunit ribosomal RNA", at positions 26 to 518 of the family's 1533-position model. The record is from RNAcentral.